Magallana angulata is the source of this 905-nucleotide long non-coding RNA. RefSeq lists it as uncharacterized. The record is from RefSeq and is a predicted model, not a curated record. The transcript is spliced from 5 exons. Lineage: Eukaryota; Metazoa; Mollusca; Bivalvia; Ostreida; Ostreidae.
GGUAAAAUUGCAACAUAUGUUCAACAUAUGUUUCGAGUAACAUAUGUUGAACAUACGUUGAACAUAUGUUGAACAUAUGAAUUUUUCACAGUAUGUUGAACAUAUGUUUGAAAUAUAUUGUUAACAUAUGUUUGAAAAAUACGUUAAACAUAUUACAGACUCAAAACAUAUGUUGAACAUAUAUUUGUGGUAUUCAUAUGUUCAACGUAUGUUUAACAUAUUUUGAACAUAUGUUUGUUUAAAACAUAUGAUCAGCAUAUGUUUUCAAUUUGCGUUAUGUUGAUUAAACAAGUUUGUUGGCUUAAAUUUUUAGAUAUGUAGUAAUGAAUGCGUGUAUAAACAAAUUAUAUAAUCAACAUUAGCCAUGCAUUUUUUUCAUAUGAAGUGUUUCGUUAACAAAUCCAGAUUUAAGCUUGAAUCGGUUUUAAAUUUAGUGUUCAUAAACAUACGUCAGAUUUUACGUCACGGAGGCAGAAGAUCAAUCUGCAGGAUGGAUUUAAACUUGUACUUAUAAGGAAUGCAGUGACUAGUGGACACAUCACAGAUGGCAUCAAAUAACACAGUGUCAGAGAUUAUGAAGAACAAAUGGAUGUAGUAGUGCAGAGGUUUGUAAGAUUUCUUGAAUGCAGUCUGAAGACAAUGAAUAAAUGAAAGAUCCAGGAUCCAGAUAUUCGUCCUGAGCUCAAAGAUAUCUGCACUACAUUUUCUAUACAAGUUAUGACAGAAGUUUAGAGUUGACUUGUGAAAUGAUAAACAGCACAUCGAAAAAGAAGUUGGACAAAAAGUGGGAUUAAUGCAGAAACUAUUAAAGCUGCAGUGAGUGAGAACAUUCACAGGAGAAUAACAAACUUGUCUAUAUGAUAUUUGCAACAAUAAAAAUGAUAUGUAUUUUUAUCUCUGUUUUU